This 538-nucleotide ribosomal RNA is filed under the name Microbacterium sp. Cdan11. RNAcentral's name for it is "bacterial SSU rRNA". It matches the Rfam family "Bacterial small subunit ribosomal RNA", at positions 122 to 668 of the family's 1533-position model. The record is from RNAcentral. Lineage: Bacteria; Bacillati; Actinomycetota; Actinomycetes; Micrococcales; Microbacteriaceae.
CAACCUGCCCCUGACUCUGGGAUAAGCGCUGGAAACGGUGUCUAAUACUGGAUAUGUCCCGUCACCGCAUGGUGUGCGGGUGGAAAGAUUUUUCGGUUGGGGAUGGGCUCGCGGCCUAUCAGCUUGUUGGUGAGGUAAUGGCUCACCAAGGCGUCGACGGGUAGCCGGCCUGAGAGGGUGACCGGCCACACUGGGACUGAGACACGGCCCAGACUCCUACGGGAGGCAGCAGUGGGGAAUAUUGCACAAUGGGCGGAAGCCUGAUGCAGCAACGCCGCGUGAGGGAUGACGGCCUUCGGGUUGUAAACCUCUUUUAGCAGGAAGAAGCGAGAGUGACGGUACCUGCAGAAAAAGCACCGGCUAACUACGUGCCAGCAGCCGCGGUAAUACGUAGGGUGCAAGCGUUAUCCGGGAAUUAUUGGGCGUAAAGAGCUCGUAGGCGGUCUGUCGCGUCUGCGUGUGGAAAUCCCGAGGCUCCACCUCGGGCUUGCAGUGGGUACGGGCAGACUAGAGUGCGGGUAGGGGGAGAUUGGGAAUC